This 372-nucleotide ribosomal RNA is filed under the name uncultured bacterium. RNAcentral describes it as "bacterial SSU rRNA". It matches the Rfam family "Bacterial small subunit ribosomal RNA", at positions 794 to 1166 of the family's 1533-position model. The record is from RNAcentral.
UCCACGCUGUAAACGAUGAGUGCUAGGUGUAGGUGGGCUCAUACCCAUCUGUGCCGAAGCUAACGCAUUAAGCACUCCGCCUGGGGAGUACGGUCGCAAGACUGAAACUCAAAGGAAUUGACGGGGGCCCGCACAAGCAGUGGAGCAUGUGGUUUAAUUCGAAGCAACGCGAAGAACCUUACCAGGACUUGACAUCCCAUAGACCAGUCUAGAGAUAGACUUUCCCUUCGGGGCUGUGGUGACAGGUGGUGCAUGGUUGUCGUCAGCUCGUGUCGUGAGAUGUUGGGUUAAGUCCCGCAACGAGCGCAACCCUUACUUUGUGUUGCCAGCAUUCAGUUGGGCACUCACAAGGGACUGCCGCCGAUAAGGCGG